AUUACACCAAAAAACAUACAACUCUCCGGGGAGGCUUGUGCUUUCUAGCAAGCCUUUCCCACAGAUACGCAAUACAAUCUAUAUAUAUAUAUCUAUAUAUAUAUAGACACAACAUACAGUAGAAAAAGGCCGAUCGACGUUAACAUAUCGCGUAUACAACAAAAAAGUUCGUUCUACGGCUUUUUUUUGGCGACGUGCGUGGAUAACGGCUCACAUAACGUGUCGCGAUGGAUGACUUGGCUUCCUAUUUCGUUGAAGAACGCAGUA
RNAcentral lists this unclassified non-coding RNA (267 nucleotides) under Leishmania naiffi. Its description in RNAcentral is "sequence contains 18S rRNA gene, ITS1 and 5.8S rRNA gene". The record is from RNAcentral. Lineage: Eukaryota; Euglenozoa; Kinetoplastea; Trypanosomatida; Trypanosomatidae.